RNAcentral lists this transfer RNA (83 nucleotides) under Nitrospira sp. RNAcentral describes it as "tRNA-Leu". It matches the Rfam family "tRNA". Rfam says of the family: Transfer RNA (tRNA) molecules are approximately 80 nucleotides in length. The record is from RNAcentral. RNAcentral also lists the same sequence under 1 other name. Lineage: Bacteria; Pseudomonadati; Nitrospirota; Nitrospiria; Nitrospirales; Nitrospiraceae.
GCCGAAGUGGUGGAAUGGCAGACACGCCAGCCUCAGGAGCUGGUGCUCGCAAGGGCGUCCGGGUUCAACUCCCGGCUUCGGCA